GUACCUCUCUCAGCCUUUUAGCUAAGAUAAAGUGCAGUAUCUACAAUUUAAUUUCUGGUAUAUGUGGGCUAUAUGUCCACUUUUAAUUUGUUUUUUGUGGGAAGGGUUCACUUUAAUUUUAAAUUUAUUUUUAAUGUAGAUGGCCCAUCACACCGCUUGCCACUAGACCUUGGAUGUCGUACAACUGUUGCACUAUACCAUCAAAUAUGAUUGGUGUACCGCCA
RNAcentral lists this small nuclear RNA (224 nucleotides) under Zea mays. RNAcentral's name for it is "U2 spliceosomal RNA". It matches the Rfam family "U2 spliceosomal RNA". Rfam says of the family: U2 is a small nuclear RNA (snRNA) component of the spliceosome (involved in pre-mRNA splicing). Complementary binding between U2 snRNA (in an area lying towards the 5' end but 3' to hairpin I) and the branchpoint sequence (BPS) of the intron results the bulging out of an unpaired adenosine, on the BPS, which initiates a nucleophilic attack at the intronic 5' splice site, thus starting the first of two transesterification reactions that mediate splicing. The record is from Rfam by way of RNAcentral. Lineage: Eukaryota; Viridiplantae; Streptophyta; Magnoliopsida; Poales; Poaceae.